UACAGAGGUCCCAAGCGUUGUUCGGAUUCACUGGCGUAAAGGGUGCGUAGGCGGUCGGGUAAGUCUGAUGUGAAAUCUCACAGCUUAACUGUGAAACUGCAUUGGAUACUAUCCGGCUCGAGGAAUGGAGGGGAGACUGGAAUACUUGGUGUAGCAGUGAAAUGCGUAGAUAUCAAGUGGAACACCAGUGGCGAAGGCGAGUCUCUGGACAUUUCCUGACGCUGAGGCACGAAAGCCAGGGAGCAAACGGG
RNAcentral lists this ribosomal RNA (251 nucleotides) under uncultured bacterium. RNAcentral describes it as "partial 16S ribosomal RNA". It matches the Rfam family "Bacterial small subunit ribosomal RNA", at positions 524 to 776 of the family's 1533-position model. The record is from RNAcentral.